Molecule: ribosomal RNA, 492 nt
Filed under: uncultured bacterium
Lineage: Bacteria
Description: partial 16S ribosomal RNA
Rfam family: Bacterial small subunit ribosomal RNA
Source: RNAcentral
AGUGAACGCUGGCGGUAGGCCUAACACAUGCAAGUCGAACGGCAGCACAGUAAGAGCUUGCUCUUACGGGUGGCGAGUGGCGGACGGGUGAGGAAUACAUCGGAAUCUACUUUUUCGUGGGGGAUAACGUAGGGAAACUUACGCUAAUACCGCAUACGACCUACGGGUGAAAGCAGGGGAUCUUCGGACCUUGCGCGAUUGAAUGAGCCGAUGUCGGAUUAGCUAGUCGGCGGGGUAAAGGCCCACCAAGGCGACGAUCCGUAGCUGGUCUGAGAGGAUGAUCAGCCACACUGGAACUGAGACGCGGUCCAGACUCCUACGGGAGGCAGCAGUGGGGAAUAUUGGACAAAGGGCGCAAGCCUGAUCCAGCCAUACCGCGUGGGUGAAGAAGGCCUUCGGGUUGUAAAGCCCUUUUGUUGGGAAAGAAAAGCAGCAGGUUAAUACCCCGCUGUUCUGACGGUACCCAAAGAAUAAGCACCGGCUAACUUCGUG